This 548-nucleotide ribosomal RNA is filed under the name uncultured bacterium. RNAcentral's name for it is "bacterial SSU rRNA". It matches the Rfam family "Bacterial small subunit ribosomal RNA", at positions 777 to 1330 of the family's 1533-position model. The record is from RNAcentral.
AAUAGAUACCCAGGUAGUCCACGCCGUAAACGAUGAAUACUAGGUGUGGGAGGGUCCAACCUUCCGUGCCGUCGUUAACACAGUAAGUAUUCCGCCUGGGGAGUACGGUCGCAAGAUUAAAACUCAAAGGAAUUGACGGGGGCCCGCACAAGCAGCGGAGCAUGUGGUUUAAUUCGAAGCAACGCGAAGAACCUUACCUAGACUUGACAUCUCCUGAAUUACCCGUAACUGGGGAAGCUCUUCGGAGCAGGAAGACAGGUGGUGCAUGGUUGUCGUCAGCUCGUGUCGUGAGAUGUUGGGUUAAGUCCCGCAACGAGCGCAACCCUUAUUGUUAGUUGCUACCAUUUAGUUGAGCACUCUAGCGAGACUGCCGGGGUUAACUCGGAGGAAGGUGGGGAUGACGUCAAAUCAUCAUGCCCCUUAUGUCUAGGGCUACACACGUGCUACAAUGGCGAGUACAACAAGAUGCAAAACCGCGAGGUGGAGCAAAACUGUAAAACUCGUCCCAGUUCGGAUUGUAGGCUGAAACUCGCCUACAUGAAGCCGGU